RNAcentral lists this ribosomal RNA (478 nucleotides) under uncultured bacterium. RNAcentral describes it as "partial 16S ribosomal RNA". It matches the Rfam family "Bacterial small subunit ribosomal RNA", at positions 28 to 523 of the family's 1533-position model. The record is from RNAcentral.
GACGAACGCUGGCGGCGUGCUUAACACAUGCAAGUCGAACGGUAAGGCCCUUCGGGGUACACGAGUGGCGAACGGGUGAGUAACACGUGGGUGAUCUGCCCUGCACUUCGGGAUAAGCCUGGGAAACUGGGUCUAAUACCGGAUAGGACCCUGGGAUGCAUGUCCUGGGGUGGAAAGCUUUUGCGGUGUGGGAUGGGCCCGCGGCCUAGCAGCUUGUUGGUGGGGUGAUGGCCUACCAAGGCGACGACGGGUAGCCGGCCUGAGAGGGUGACCGGCCACACUGGGACUGAGAUACGGCCCAGACUCCGACGGGAGGCAGCAGUGGGGAAUAUUGCACAAUGGGCGCAAGCCUGAUGCAGCGACGCCGCGUGAGGGAUGACGGCCUUCGGGUUGUAAACCUCUUUCAGCACCGACGAAGCGCAAGUGACGGUAGGUGCAGAAGAAGGACCGGCCAACUACGUGCCAGCCGCCGCAGUAA